UACGUAGGUGGCAAGCGUUGUCCGGAAUUAUUGGGCGUAAAGCGCGCGCAGGCGGUCCUUUUAAGUCUGAUGUGAAAGCCCACGGCUCAACCGUGGAGGGUCAUUGGAAACUGGAGGACUUGAGUACAGAAGAGGAAAGCGGAAUUCCACGUGUAGCGGUGAAAUGCGUAGAGAUGUGGAGGAACACCAGUGGCGAAGGCGGCUUUCUGGUCUGUAACUGACGCUGAGGCGCGAAAAGCGUGGGGAGCAAACAGG
RNAcentral lists this ribosomal RNA (255 nucleotides) under uncultured bacterium. RNAcentral describes it as "partial 16S ribosomal RNA". It matches the Rfam family "Bacterial small subunit ribosomal RNA", at positions 524 to 776 of the family's 1533-position model. The record is from RNAcentral.